UUGAUCUGGAAACAGUUUAAGGCUGUUGAGCUUGUAAAAUCAUGGGAUCUUGCUUUGUUCGAUUUACAAGGAUUAACAUGUUUGAUGCAAAUCUCUACCAGAACCGAGGACAGGACAGGUUUAUGUCUGCAAUUGCAAUCAUUUUGACACAGGACAGAGGCUCAAGGGUGCUAAAGCUGGAGAGAAAGAGUCUCGAAUUUCUUCUGAAGCAUUAUUGUGGAGUUGCUGCAACCAAAGAAUACCAAAAUGCAGGCAGACUGGAGAAUACGACCCCUUUCGGAUGUAAUGACAAGGUU
This is a non-coding RNA of Camelina sativa (false flax), 296 nucleotides long. Lineage: Eukaryota; Viridiplantae; Streptophyta; Magnoliopsida; Brassicales; Brassicaceae. The record is from RefSeq and is a predicted model, not a curated record.